UACGGAGGGUGCAAGCGUUAUCCGGAUUUAUUGGGUUUAAAGCGCACGUAGGCGGUUCGUUAAGUCGGAUGUGAAAGCCCUCGGCUCAACUGAGGAAGUGCACCCGAAACUGGCGAGCUUGAGUACGAAAGAGGAUCGCGGAAUUCCCGGUGUAGAGGUGAAAUUCGUAGAUAGUCGGAGGAACACCGGUGGCGAAGGCGGCGAUCUGGGUCGAUACUGACGCUGAGGUGCGAAAGCUAGGGGAGCAAACAGG
RNAcentral lists this ribosomal RNA (253 nucleotides) under uncultured bacterium. Its description in RNAcentral is "partial 16S ribosomal RNA". It matches the Rfam family "Bacterial small subunit ribosomal RNA", at positions 524 to 776 of the family's 1533-position model. The record is from RNAcentral.